ACAGAAGACCAAUAGUUCAGAAAAGCAGCGGCAUCACUUCUUAAAAAGCACUUUUCACAUCAAUGCUGUCAAAAGGCACAACCUUCCCAGCAUGUGUGUCUGACUUACUGACAUGGCCUUUCAACAGUACACUGCCCAGGAAAAAGCCAACCACGUGCAGAUGGGACAUCUUCUCAAUAGUGCUCUCAUUUAGGCAAAGAAGGCUUGAUGUGAACACCUGGUACAUCUUUUGGAGAUCUGAUUAUUUACUCUAACACUUAGUCUAAAUUACAAAAAAAACAACUUUUGGAGAACAUUUCAAAUGUAAACUUAUCUAUUACUGGUGUGUCUUGUAGAAAGAAGUCUGUCCUUCUGAAGAAAGACUUUGAGGGAUGAGAUUUUGGGAAAAGCAUGAAGACUGCUCAUGAGUUAUUUAACCUAAAAAAUAAAUCAAUAAUGUGCCUCUUUAGGUAGAGUUCGCCUAACAGGGCUUAACUGCAACUUGAUUAUAAAGUGGAAUCUUACAGGAAUGAAACUGACCUGGAACAAUUAUAACUUGAUUAAGUUCUUAAAAUUCUACUUUAAUCUAACUCAAGCCUACCCUUGAAGCAAGUGGCUACCAUCAUCUAAAGAAGCAAACUAUACGAUCAGAUCUCAACAGUCACCUCAUAGCUAAGCCACUAACUGGCGGAAAGUCAAGCUCUGCUCAACAUUCAUUGGCCAGGUAGGUUAGGCCUUGGCUUUAUGAGCUUCUCAUCUUCAAAGACAUGGCCAAACCUUUCAAGGAUUCCUGGAAGAAAGACUGACCAAAGUUCAAGAGAUGUGAAAAAAAUUAUUUAGGAUUUAAUGUUAAAAGUACUUGCUUUCAAGAGUAAAUAAUUUUUUUAUGUCAUCUUAAAUAUAUAUCACAUUCUGAAGCAAAUUAUUUUUCCAAAAAUAAUGAAUCAGAAGUUAACAGGAAAAUGGUUCAUUAAUUCCAAUACUAUUUUAAAGUAAGCCUUGCUAGUUCACUCUUACCCGUUAGCCAAAAGAUAGCUGUAUUUAAAAGAGCAUCGAACUGCUUUGCACAGCACGGAAACACAGCAGAAUGUAAAUAAAGAGCAUGACACCACUUUUUUCCACCUAAUCAUUAAAAAACUUAGUUUUAUACUCUUCAGGGGAAGAAGUUGCAAAAUCUGUCACAAAGGAACUUGCUUUGCCUCAUUCCACUUUAAAUAACUGACUGCUUCAGGUCAAUCUGAUCUUUGCGUAAGAAAGGUUUAAGGUUUGUACUCGCUGUUCUGACUGCAACACUCUCCUCACUGCUUUUUCUAGACAAUUUCAGAUCUCAACUCAGAAGCUCUUUCCUGCCGAAGCCUUCGCGAGCCCUCCAAGCCUGGGCUCCUGGGCCAUCCACCAUACUCCCACAGCACUCUGCGCCACUGCCCUCCCACCCUGACCCGCAACGCACUCACAGCACUCAACGUGCUACAGAUCCAGCCCGUUUCUCAGUUCCCCCAGGAAGCACACGGUAAGAACAAAGCAAGCAAGGGCGGGCUUUCUCUCAUUGGUAUUCCCAGUUCUGAACACAGUGCUUGGCAUAUAGUAACCACUCAAAAGCUGCAGUGUAAUUUUUCAAAGUGUAAGGGGAUUCUGAGCUAAAUAAUACAUAUAGUUAUUUGGCUACAACAUUCAAUUCUCCCUAUCAUUCUCUUACAGCUCUAGAACUGGCAGUUUCAUAAGCCCUUUAAGUAAGCGCUGGACAACCGUAAAUACAUGACUUCUCUGAGACUACUGUCCUGAUUCUGGCCUUGCCGUCCUGCCUAAUUGUUAAGAGAAUCUUAUGAGUAAGACGGCUCUCAUGUUCAGUUUAGCAACUGAGCAAUCACAGGGUUAGAGGAAAAGGCAGCAACAUCACUAAGCUCAAUGCUCCUAGGUCCAUUUGACUUCAAAGUCCGUUAAGUCUUUUUACUAGACCAUGCUAUUUAGGCUAAAGACAAUUAGUACAAUUCUCCUUUAACCCUUGGCCCGAAAGGAAAAAAGUGGACAGAUUAGGUAAAUAAUUACUCUCUUACUGAGCCUUGAAAAACAUGGUUUUUGGCCUCAGAAAAUUAGGCAUUUCGAGUAAUUCAUGAAAAUUUGCAUUUUCCUCCUUUCAAAGUGAUCAGAUAAAAUAUAUUAAUAUUGGUCCUUUUUUGGCUAUUUGAGUCAAUACACUAACAUUUAACAACAAGUAACAUUAAUCAAGCACUUACUAUGUGUCAGGCUCUAUGUACAGGAGUUACAUUAUUUCAUUUCAUCCUCCCAACAACUGUGAGGUGAGGAUUCUCAUUUCCAUUUUUCUGACGAGGGAAACAGACUCCAGAGAACUUAAGCGACUCUGCCCGAGAUCAGACAGCUCAUAACAUGUGGGACCAAAAACUGGAACUCAGGCCUCUUACUAAAACCCUAGGUGUUCAAUCAAAUCAUGGGUAUUGCUAUUGUGGAUAAUAUUUAACUAGGAAACUGGAAAACACAAAAAACUAGCGAUAGUGUAACACUGAAUAACAAAAACACAUAGACUUGAAAUUCAAUUUUCAUCUGAGACAUGCUUCUUUCCCUUACAUUCAAAUUGGUAACGUAUUGAUAAGUGGCACCAACGGACCCGAGAUCAUAUUACCCAGGGGGAGGAUGAGCAUCUUGAGGUUCCAGACUUUGGAAUGAAUAAACUUAUCAACUCUUCCAGUCCCAAACAGGUUUCUAAAAUAACGAACUGCAUGAGACGACAGCCAUGAGAGACCUACGCUCCCUAAGGAAGAAGCCUGAGUUUCUGGAAGCGCAGUCAGCGUCUCGAGUAUUUGCGCACUAAGAAAACCGUUUUCCCGCUGCGAUGACCGUGCUAAAGCAGCACAGGUGGCCAAGACAUUUACGGGCAGGUCUCCCAGCUACUCAAGUCCCUUAAGUGAGGCCUCAGUUCAGCCCCAGCACACAUCCAGGACUCCAUCUCGACUCCAGCAGAAGGUCUCUGCGCAGAGUCCAGAGAAGACUCUGUUUCAUACCCCCGCUUUUAGGGAAGAGCUGAGUCUCCCACGGUGUGCUCGCUCUAGCUAGUAAAACACUAGAUCGAGCGCUCUCCUUUCAGGAACCGCUCUUGCUUCAGUUCUCAGCGAUGGUCCACGCAGCAAACCGAAGCCUAUUAUCCGUCUCCACUUUUAGGGUCCAUCCACGAUGCUCACAAGCGCGAGGCGUGGGGAUCUUCUAUGGACACAGAAAAACAUUGACCUGGAGAGAUUAUAGCAUCACUGUUGAAGAUUCCUAGCUGAAGGCUGAUCAUCGUUUCUGCCGCAUCAAAGAGGGUUUUGUAGGAACGGAGUUUCCAACCGAAUAUUAAGUUUGACUGUUACGGAAAGAGUCCUCAUGAACAGGGAAAGAAGCUGUGCAACCCCCCAGAGCCUGGUGUUUGAGAGCAGAGUUGGUGAUCGGGGUCAGCCACAUCACGGCCUGGCAAAGCUGUCUGUACCUACAGGGUCCCACAGGUGUCACAAGUCAAAAAAAAUUAUCCUGUGCAUGUUCUCAGCCCCCCUCCUGUCCCUUCUUUUCCCUUCCCCUCAAGAGAAGCUUCUGUGAUGUGUUCCAUUUCCCUCCUCCUGCCUGCUCUCACGGAGGAAGAACUGGUGUUUGGCUGGUGAGAGGGUAAGUUCCCCUCCGUUAUAAAGGCGUGGAGUGAGAGGGAGAUUUUUAAAACUACUCAAGCAGCAUUUUGAGAAAGAUUUAAGGGUUUUGAAGAGAAGUUUCUGAAACAGCCACAGGCAGAGUGUGAGGACAAUCGAGAGCAGAGAAAUGAAUCUUGGAGCAGGUGGUGAAUGGGCCUCCUUUAAUGUUCUUAGAGAACUGCAAGAACUUAAGCUGCUAUUUGAUAACUACUGGCCUUUGCCUUUGAAUUGAUGCUCAGAGACCAUGUGGGCUCCCGGUUUAUGAAGUUGAUGGUGUGGCAUAGGGGUUAAAUGUCAAGAUCAGGUGUCAGACUCUUUGGCUUCAUUUCUGACCUUGGAUAAAUUACUUCACGUCUCUGGACUUUAGCUUCCUACUCUGUGAAGUGGAGCCAAUAGGACCUUUCCCUUGGAGUUGUUAAAGGAGAAAAUCCACAUAAGAUUCUUAGCACAAUGCCUGCCUUGUAGUAAGCACUCAAAGUAUCAUCCUUACUUUAAAGUAGUUGUUGGAACAGGGGAUGGGGGGCUAAGAUGCUCCUUUUAGGUAUCUGGUUUCCAUUUUUGGUGAGAGGAGUGGGUGGGGCAUAUAACAAGCUUUGGAUGCCUGCCCAGCAUCCUCAAGCCAUCAUCAUUAUCGACAUCUGCACCUUCGUUGUAUAACAUGGUGGUAAAGGUGGCAGAGGGGAUCCUUCCUCAAUCCUGAGGACCACAGGUGAGAAUAAAAGUGCUAAGAACCCCCACAAUCUAAGUUCAGAGAACCCCUCAGCUGUGAGGAUGGCCACGUCUCCUCUCCCCCACCUCCGGCAUUUUUGGAAGGUCUCAGUUCAGCAGAAACAGGAGCCCUGCUCCUCUCCCUUUCCCACCCAGGAAGGACCACUCUCCAAGUUCUUAGAUCCUGAGAUGUGCUGAAGCUGAGUCCCAAGCCAGGUCAGCCCUCAGGACCAGCAGAAGGCCCCCCAAAGUUGUCAUGGCAACAAGUAAGGAGAAUCUUUCUCUCUCCCUUCUUGUGGCCCCUCCCUCCCCGACCAGGGAAGAGGGAAGAGGUGGGAGAGGGGACAGGACCUACAGCCGUCUCCAUCCCUUGCCCGUGGAGCCACAAGCCCACCCCUCACCUGCACGAUCA
Long non-coding RNA from Equus quagga, 4770 nucleotides. RefSeq lists it as uncharacterized. Lineage: Eukaryota; Metazoa; Chordata; Mammalia; Perissodactyla; Equidae. The record is from RefSeq and is a predicted model, not a curated record. The transcript has 4 exons.